GGCGAGAUAGCUCAGUUGGUAGAGCACACGACUGAAAAUCGUGGUGUCCCCAGUUCGAGUCUGGGUCUCGCCA
This 73-nucleotide transfer RNA is filed under the name Actinomycetes bacterium. RNAcentral describes it as "Actinobacteria bacterium tRNA-Phe". It matches the Rfam family "tRNA". From Rfam's summary of the family: Transfer RNA (tRNA) molecules are approximately 80 nucleotides in length. Their secondary structure includes four short double-helical elements and three loops (D, anti-codon, and T loops). Further hydrogen bonds mediate the characteristic L-shaped molecular structure. tRNAs have two regions of fundamental functional importance: the anti-codon, which is responsible for specific mRNA codon recognition, and the 3' end, to which the tRNAs corresponding amino acid is attached (by aminoacyl-tRNA synthetases). tRNAs cope with the degeneracy of the genetic code in two manners: having more than one tRNA (with a specific anti-codon) for a particular amino acid; and 'wobble' base-pairing, i.e. permitting non-standard base-pairing at the 3rd anti-codon position. The record is from RNAcentral. RNAcentral also lists the same sequence under 4 other names. Lineage: Bacteria; Bacillati; Actinomycetota; Actinomycetes.